Dendronephthya gigantea is the source of this 800-nucleotide long non-coding RNA. RefSeq lists it as uncharacterized. The transcript is spliced from 3 exons. The record is from RefSeq and is a predicted model, not a curated record. Lineage: Eukaryota; Metazoa; Cnidaria; Anthozoa; Malacalcyonacea; Nephtheidae.
GUUAACUAUUUCAAUGUGGUAGUCAGAAAUAAAUUUACAGUUAGAUUUUGAAAUUCUCAAAAGCAUAGAAGUAUUCCUGACUUAAAAAACUACAGGUGAACAGCUGUUAAAUGACGAGCCAGAGAAGGUAGCACGUGAACAACCCAACUACAUGGCUCGCAUUCAAAGUGCUACAAAAUCACUGAUAAAAAACCCGGAAGAACUGAAUCUGCCAACAGUUAGUGUAGAGUUUGACAAUUCCUUGUCAUCUCUUAUUCCAAAACAUGGAGAAUUAUUGGAAGGCGAAAAUGGACUCGACGAUUGCUGUUGUUGUUUCUGUUGCUGUUGGUUGCGAGACAAAAUGGGAUUAAGUGGAAACUACCAGGACCAGAAAACCAAAGCUUACGAUGAGAAAGCAGUAAAACCAUAUUCAGCGCUUUAUAAAUUUCUUUACUUUUCGCUUAAAUAAUACUACUGAAUGCGUCGAGGUUUUACAAUGAGUGAACUUUUAUAAACCGUUCAGUGCUCGAAUUAUUUUGGCACGUAGCUACGUAUACACAGCAAUCGAUAGAAAUCUAGACUAUUGAAAAAUAUCUCUUAUCUGUUCAGGGUUUGAAGGCCUUUGGCCUGAAGUAGUGGAAGGUGUAAACGCUUGAUGUGUAUUCUUGUGCCCAUUUGGUUGUUAUAGUGACUUUAUUUAGAUGCAAAUCUAACGCUACGUCAUCACGGCACAAACCACUAAAUUUUAAUGUGGAAUUAAAAUAAAACAUCGGACAGUUGAAUAUUUAAUUGUAACAUGAACCGUUGAAAUAAAACCGAAA